GAUCUGGCUCAGGACGAACGCUGGCGGCGCGCCUAACACAUGCAAGUCGAACGAGCGAGAGAGAGCUUGCUUUCUCAAGCGAGUGGCGAACGGGUGAGUAACGCGUGAGGAACCUGCCUCAAAGAGGGGGACAACAGUUGGAAGCGACUGCUAAUACCGCAUAAGCCCACAGCUCGGCAUCGAGCAGAGGGAAAAGGAGCAAUCCGCUUUGAGAUGGCCUCGCGUCCG
RNAcentral lists this ribosomal RNA (228 nucleotides) under uncultured bacterium. RNAcentral describes it as "partial 16S ribosomal RNA". It matches the Rfam family "Bacterial small subunit ribosomal RNA", at positions 15 to 239 of the family's 1533-position model. The record is from RNAcentral.